RNAcentral lists this ribosomal RNA (694 nucleotides) under uncultured Bacteroidales bacterium. RNAcentral's name for it is "bacterial SSU rRNA". It matches the Rfam family "Bacterial small subunit ribosomal RNA", at positions 32 to 715 of the family's 1533-position model. The record is from RNAcentral. Lineage: Bacteria; Pseudomonadati; Bacteroidota; Bacteroidia; Bacteroidales.
AACGCUAGCUACAGGCUUAACACAUGCAAGUCGAGGGGCAGCAUGGUCUUAGCUUGCUAAGGCCGAUGGCGACCGGCGCACGGGUGAGUAACGCGUAUCCAACCUGCCUUACACUCUUGGAUAGCCUUCUGAAAGGGAGAUUAAUACAAGAUGUUAUCAUGAGUAAGCAUUUUCGCAUGAUUAAAGGUUUACCGGUGUAAGAUGGGGAUGCGUUCCAUUAGAUAGUAGGCGGGGUAACGGCCCACCUAGUCUUCGAUGGAUAGGGGUUCUGAGAGGAAGGUCCCCCACAUUGGAACUGAGACACGGUCCAAACUCCUACGGGAGGCAGCAGUGAGGAAUAUUGGUCAAUGGACGAGAGUCUGAACCAGCCAAGUAGCGUGAAGGAUGAAGGUUCUAUGGAUUGUAAACUUCUUUUAUACGGGAAUAAACGAAUCCACGUGCGGCUCUUUGUAUGUACCGUAUGAAUAAGGAUCGGCUAACUCCGUGCCAGCAGCCGCGGUAAUACGGAGGAUCCGAGCGUUAUCCGGAUUUAUUGGGUUUAAAGGGAGCGUAGGCGGACGCUUAAGUCAGUUGUGAAAGUUUGCGGCUCAACCGUAAAAUUGCAGUUGAUACUGGGUGUCUUGAGUACAGUAGAGGCAGGCGGAAUUCGUGGUGUAGCGGUGAAAUGCUUAGAUAUCACGAAGAACUCCGAUUG